Molecule: ribosomal RNA, 1198 nt
Filed under: Pseudaspius hakonensis (big-scaled redfin)
Lineage: Eukaryota; Metazoa; Chordata; Actinopteri; Cypriniformes; Leuciscidae
Description: partial 16S ribosomal RNA
Rfam family: Bacterial large subunit ribosomal RNA
Source: RNAcentral
CCCGAAACCAGGUGAGCUACCCCGAGACAGCCUAUGUUAAUUUAGGGCUAACCCGUCUCUGUGGCAAAAGAGUGGGAAGAGCUCCGGGUAGAAGUGACAGACCUACCGAACCUGGUGAUAGCUGGUUGCCUGAAAAAUGGAUAGAAGUUCAGCCUCGCACCCCCCGAUCCAACAAAUAUAUCGUCAAGAUGCUCAGAGAGACAUGCGAGAGUUAGUUAAAAGGGGUACAGCCCUUUUAACAAAGGAUACAACCUUCACAGGAGGAUAAAGAUCAUAAUAUAUAAGAUAUACUGUUCUAGUGGGCCUGAAAGCAGCCACCUAAGCAGAAAGCGUUAAAGCUCGGACAGAGAGAAGUUUAUUAUACUGAUAAGAAAUCUUAUUCCCCUAACUGUAUCAGGCCAACCCAUGCCCCCAUGGAAGAGAUUAUGCUAAAAUGAGUAAUAAGAAGACACGCUCUUCUCCCGGCACACGUGUAAACCAGAUCGGACUGACCACUGGAACUUAACGAACCCAACCCAAGAGGGUAGUGUGAUUAAUAUAAACCUCAAGAAGACCUCACACCAACUGAUCGUUAACCCCACACUGGAGUGCUAUUUCAAGGGAAAGACUAAAAGAGGAGGAAGGAACUCGGCAAACACAAGCCUCGCCUGUUUACCAAAAACAUCGCCUCCUGCAACUAGACUGAGUAUAGGAGGUCCAGCCUGCCCAGUGACUACGGGUUCAACGGCCGCGGUAUCUUGACCGUGCAAAGGUAGCGCAAUCACUUGUCUCUUAAAUAGAGACCUGUAUGAAUGGCUAGACGAGGGCUUAACUGUCUCCCCCCUCCAGUCAGUGAAAUUGAUCUAUCCGUGCAGAAGCGGGUAUAAAUGUACAAGACGAGAAGACCCUUUGGAGCUUAAGGUACAAAAUUCAACCACGUUAAACAACCCUAUAAAAGGCAAGAACUUAGUAGCAAUGAAAUUUUACCUUCGGUUGGGGCGACCGCGGAGGAAAAACAAGCCUCCGAGUGGACUGGGCCAAACCCCUAAAGCCAAAAGAAACAUCUAGAAGCCGCAGAAUAUCUGACCAAAAAUGAUCCGGCUAAAAGCCGAUCAACGAACCAAGUUACCCAAGGGAUAACAGCGCAAUCCCCUCCCAGAGCCCGUAUCGACGAGGGGGUUUACGACCUCGAUGUUGGAUCAGGACAUCCUAAUGGUGC